This 197-nucleotide ribosomal RNA is filed under the name uncultured bacterium. RNAcentral's name for it is "partial 16S ribosomal RNA". It matches the Rfam family "Bacterial small subunit ribosomal RNA", at positions 328 to 539 of the family's 1533-position model. The record is from RNAcentral.
ACGCUCGACACCUACGGGAGCAGCAGUGGGGAAUAUUGCACAAUGGGGGAAACCCUGAUGCAGCGACGCCGCGUGAGUGAAGAAGUAUUUCGGUAUGUAAAGCUCUAUCAGCAGGGAAGAAACUGACGGUACCUGACUAAGAAGCACCGGCUAAAUACGUGCCAACAGCCGCGGUAAUCUGAGCGGGCUGGCAAGGC